CAGCAGUAUCAGGCCUCUUGGUCAAGACAUGAACUUCCCCCUUGCUAGCUAAAGCCUUGAUUUUGACUCCUCUUUCCUCCAGAUCGGACGAUCCCACCCCACCCCCUGCUAAUCUCGUUACAGGUAACUUUCCAAUUCGGCGGCCCCACAGCCAAACCCUGUGGGAGAGUCAGACCUCCACUAAUAUUUGGAGUCCCUAAAUGCCUGGAGUGAAAAAGAAAGUCUACAUACAUAAACAGGAAGUGGUUUCGCUACCCAGUGCUUCAUCCUGGCAGUGUGGCAUUUCAGGCACAGGAGCCUAGCUGUGGAGAGACCUGCCCUCUGGCUGGCAUACCUCUCUGGUCCUUCGAAUCGCCAAAUUCCAAAAGGGGAAUAUGCCUUGGAAGAGGACUGUUGGAAGCCAUUUUCUGAACUCACUAAGUCGAGGAAAAAAAAAACACAACAAACUCCUUGUGAGGUAAGGUGGGUUUGCAAGGCCUCCCGCCAUCAGAUGGUGACCGAUGUCUACCCCCCCACUCAAUUAUUCUUGCUCCAGCACCGACCCCCAAGGUGCCUUGUCGACUGGUAUCAGGAGUGACUUGCUCCCUUAUCUUAAAAUGAGCUGAUUGCAUCUUGUGAAGGAACUUACUACAGGAAUUUCUUCUUUUGUGAUUAUAGGAGCAAAUAUUACAUUUCCUUAGAA
RNAcentral lists this long non-coding RNA (682 nucleotides) under Suricata suricatta (meerkat). RNAcentral describes it as "lncRNA (ENSSSUG00005006229.1)". The record is from RNAcentral. Lineage: Eukaryota; Metazoa; Chordata; Mammalia; Carnivora; Herpestidae.